Molecule: ribosomal RNA, 596 nt
Filed under: uncultured Lake Michigan sediment bacterium LMBA42
Lineage: Bacteria; Pseudomonadati; Planctomycetota; Planctomycetia; Planctomycetales
Description: bacterial SSU rRNA
Rfam family: Bacterial small subunit ribosomal RNA
Source: RNAcentral
GCUAACCCGUUAAGUANCCCCCCUGGAAAGUACGGCCGCAAGGCUAAAACUCAAGGAAUUGACGGGGACUCGCACAAGCGGUGAGGCAUGUGGUUUAAUACGAUAAUAACCGUGGACCUUACCCAGGUUUGACAUGCACUUGCAAUCCGCCAGAAAUGGCGAGAUCCUUCGAGGUAGUGCACAGGUGUUGCAUGGCUGUCGUCAGCUCGAGUCGUGAGAUGUUAGGUUAAGCCUUUAUCGAGCGCAACCCCUAUUGCUAGUUGUAUCACUCUAGCGAGACUGCCCGCGCANCGGRAGGAGGGUGGGGAUGACGUCAAGUCAGCAUGGCCUUUAUGCCUGGGGCYACACAAUGCGACAAUGGUCGGCACAACGGGUCGCAACUUUGUAAAAAGAAGCCAAUCCCUWAAACCGAUCUCAGUUCGGAUUGAAGGCUGCAACUCGCCUUCAUGAAGUUGGAAUCGCUAGUAUCGCCGGUCAGCUAUACGGCGGUGAAUACGUUCUCGGMUCUUGUACACACCGCCCGUCAGCGAGGGAAGUCGAAAUCGCUCGAAGUGCCACMUCUMACGUGGCCCUAGAGCGAGGUCGUAACCAGCGCU